RNAcentral lists this ribosomal RNA (585 nucleotides) under uncultured organism. RNAcentral describes it as "bacterial SSU rRNA". It matches the Rfam family "Bacterial small subunit ribosomal RNA", at positions 8 to 588 of the family's 1533-position model. The record is from RNAcentral.
AGAGUUUGAUCCUGGCUCAGAUUGAACGCUGGCGGCAGGCUUAACACAUGCAAGUCGAGCGGAGAUGAGGUGCUUGCACCUUAUCUUAGCGGCGGACGGGUGAGUAAUGCUUAGGAAUCUGCCUAUUAGUGGGGGACAACAUUCCGAAAGGAAUGCUAAUACCGCAUACGUCCUACGGGAGAAAGCAGGGGAUCUUCGGACCUUGCGCUAAUAGAUGAGCCUAAGUCGGAUUAGCUAGUUGGUGGGGUAAAGGCCUACCAAGGCGACGAUCUGUAGCGGGUCUGAGAGGAUGAUCCGCCACACUGGGACUGAGACACGGCCCAGACUCCUACGGGAGGCAGCAGUGGGGAAUAUUGGACAAUGGGGGGAACCCUGAUCCAGCCAUGCCGCGUGUGUGAAGAAGGCCUUAUGGUUGUAAAGCACUUUAAGCGAGGAGGAGGCUACUGAGACUAAUACUCUUGGAUAGUGGACGUACUCGCAGAAUAAGCACCGGCUAACUCUGUGCCAGCAGCCGCGGUAAUACAGAGGGUGCGAGCGUUAAUCGGAUUUACUGGGCGUAAAGCGUGCGUAGGCGGCUUUUUAAGU